This 460-nucleotide ribosomal RNA is filed under the name uncultured bacterium. RNAcentral describes it as "partial 16S ribosomal RNA". It matches the Rfam family "Bacterial small subunit ribosomal RNA", at positions 338 to 795 of the family's 1533-position model. The record is from RNAcentral.
CCUACGGGAGGCAGCAGUGAGGAAUAUUGGUCAAUGGACGGAAGUCUGAACCAGCCAUGCCGCGUGCAGGAAGACGGCUCUAUGAGUUGUAAACUGCUUUUGUACAAAGGUAAAACUGCAUACGUGUAUUCAGCUGAAAGUACUGUACGAAUAACGAUCGGCUAACUCCGUGCCAUCAGCCGCGGUAAGACGGAGGAUCCAAGCGUUAUCCGGAUUUAUUGGGUUUAAAGGGUCCGUAGGCGGAUGGAUAAGUUAGAGGUGAAAUGUCGGAGCUUAACUCGGGAACUGCCUUUAAUACUGUUGAUCUAGAGAAUAGAUGAGGUAGGCGGAAUGUAUGGUGUAGCGGUGAAAUGCUUAGAGAUCAUACAGAACACCGAUUGCGAAGGCAGCUUACCAAUCUAUAUCUGACGUUGAGGCACGAAAGCGUGGGGAGCAAACAGGAUUAGAUACCCGGGUAGUC